AGCGUUGUUCGGAAUUACUGGGCGUAAAGGGCUCGUAGGCGGACAACUAAGUCGGAUGUGAAAUCCCCAGGCUUAACCUGGGAACUGCAUCCGAUACUGGAUGGCUUGAAUUCGGGAGAGGGAUGCAGAAUUCCAGGUGUAGCGGUGAAAUGCGUAGAUAUCUGGAGGAAUACCUGUGGCGAAGGCGGCAUCCUGGACCGAGAUUGACGCUGAUGAGCGAAAGCUAGGGGAGCAAACGGG
This 240-nucleotide ribosomal RNA is filed under the name uncultured bacterium. RNAcentral's name for it is "partial 16S ribosomal RNA". It matches the Rfam family "Bacterial small subunit ribosomal RNA", at positions 537 to 776 of the family's 1533-position model. The record is from RNAcentral.